UGCCAGCCGCCGCGGUAAUACGGAGGGGGUUAGCGUUGUUCGGAAUUACUGGGCGUAAAGCGCGCGUAGGCGGAUUGGAAAGUUGGGGGUGAAAUCCCGGGGCUCAACCCCGGAACUGCCUCCAAAACUGACUUACUUGAGAUUGGUAGAGGAAAAUGGAAUUCCUAGUGUAGAGGUGAAAUUCGUAGAUAUUGGGAAGAACAUCGGUGGCGAAGGCGAUUUUCUGGGCCAAAUCUGACGCUGAGGUGCGAAAGCGUGGGGAGCAAACAGGAUUAGAUA
RNAcentral lists this ribosomal RNA (279 nucleotides) under uncultured bacterium. RNAcentral describes it as "partial 16S ribosomal RNA". It matches the Rfam family "Bacterial small subunit ribosomal RNA", at positions 506 to 784 of the family's 1533-position model. The record is from RNAcentral.